This 329-nucleotide unclassified non-coding RNA is filed under the name uncultured fungus. RNAcentral describes it as "sequence contains 5.8S rRNA gene". The stretch from base 1 to 53 matches the Rfam family "5.8S ribosomal RNA", at positions 102 to 154 of the family's 154-position model. The record is from RNAcentral. Lineage: Eukaryota; Fungi.
GAACGCAUCUUGCGCUCCUGGGUACUCCUGGGAGCAUGCCUGUUUGAGUGUCGUGUAACCUCUCAAUCUGCCCCUUUCUUGCUUGAUUGCUCGAGAGGCCUGGCUUCAGAUUGGAUCAUGGCUGAAUGAUGCCGUUGUCUGCAAAGGCGACAGCUCGGCCGAAAUGCAGACAAGUGACGACCGCUCGUGUCGAUCGGCUUGAACUCGGCGUUGUAAUUUCUCCCUCGUUGAGCUACGAUCUUCACGUCUUUGAAGGCGCACUUUGAAAUACACUCUCUUUUUGAGCAAAUCUGGCCUCAAAUCAGGCAGGACUACCCGCUGAACUUAAG